Molecule: non-coding RNA, 72 nt
Organism: Schistocerca serialis cubense
Lineage: Eukaryota; Metazoa; Arthropoda; Insecta; Orthoptera; Acrididae
Source: the annotation of a RefSeq genome assembly
GCCAGUGUGGUACAGCGGUUAGCACAUCUGCCUAUCAAGCAGGAGACCUGGGUUUGAAUCCUGGCACUGGUA